Long non-coding RNA from Myotis davidii, 95 nucleotides. RefSeq lists it as uncharacterized. The record is from RefSeq and is a predicted model, not a curated record. The transcript has 3 exons. NCBI's taxonomy places the organism in Eukaryota, Metazoa, Chordata, Mammalia, Chiroptera, Vespertilionidae.
GCCCAGGCUGGUGUGCUCUUCCUGCUCCUCGUUCUCGGUGUCACAUUCCACGUCACUGUCGCUACUCAUUCCUGCCAAUGUUGUCUUAAGUACUG